RNAcentral lists this small nuclear RNA (102 nucleotides) under Peromyscus maniculatus bairdii (prairie deer mouse). Lineage: Eukaryota; Metazoa; Chordata; Mammalia; Rodentia; Cricetidae. The record is from RNAcentral.
UUUUAUUUUGCAUUAAGAACCCUCUAAAAUUGGAAUGAUAGAAGAUUAGCAUGGCCCCUGUGCAAGGAUGACACGUAAAUUCAUAAAGCAUUCCAUAUUAAA